GACGAACGCUGGCGGCGUGCCUAACACAUGCAAGUCGAACGGGGGUAUUAUUUCGAUGAAUACCUUAGUGGCGAACGGGUGAGUAACGCGUGAGCAACCUAUCCUUAAGAGGGGGAUAACAUCUGGAAACAGAUGCUAAUACCGCAAUAAGACCACACUGCCGCAUGGCAGAGGGGUCAAAGGAGCAAUCCGUUUAAGGAGGGGCUCGCGUCCCAUUAGAUAGUUGGUGAGGUAACAGCUCACCAAGUCAGCGAUGGGUAGCCAAGCUGAGAGGCUGAUCGGCCACACUGGAACUGAGACACGGUCCAGACUCCUACGGGAGGCAGCAGUGGGGAAUAUUGGGCAAUGGGGGGAACCCUGACCCAGCAACGCCGCGUGAGGGAAGAAGGCCUUCGGGUUGUAAACCUCUGUCAUUAGGGAAGAAGAAAGUGACGGUACCUAAUGAGGAAGCCCCGGCUAACUACGUG
RNAcentral lists this ribosomal RNA (467 nucleotides) under uncultured bacterium. RNAcentral describes it as "bacterial SSU rRNA". It matches the Rfam family "Bacterial small subunit ribosomal RNA", at positions 28 to 507 of the family's 1533-position model. The record is from RNAcentral.